GUUAGAAUGAAAAAAGUAAACGAUUUCAGACGCAGAUAUUUCCGAAUCACUAAGCCAGGGCUUUGUCCUCUCAUCAAGGGCAAGGGCUCUGCCUACGGGCACACGAAGACAGCCAGACCUGGACCUGUCUAGCAAAGGGCUGAACCUCGUCUUCACUUUCUGGGGAGGAUCAGCAUGCGAGGCCAACAGAUGGGAAGAAAGAGGCUGUGACAGUUCUCCAGGAGAGCAACGAUGGAGACCUGAGCUGCUGUGGUGAUAGGAGGAUGGAGCCAUGUGCCUGAUUCAGGGGACAGUGACAAGGUGGAAGAUGGGUCCUGGUGACUGGCUGGUGCUGCUGGGUCACAAAUAAUAUCCAGACGUGAGCAUGCGACACAGCCGAGGAGAGUAAGGGGACAGCUUACACCUUGAAGAAGGGCUUCUCAAAAAGAUGUUCCUCCCUGACAGACACUUGAAGACAAACUGCCCCUUUUUGCUUUCACACAUGGCUUCUUGAGGAUGUGAUGUCUGGAGCUGUGGCAGCCACCUUGUGACAUGAAGCUCACAUGCUGAGAAUGGUGGAGGGAAAGGAGCUGCGCGAUGGCUUGGCUUAUCCAACUACCUUCAGAGCUUCACUCCAGAACUUCCUACCUCUGGGCUAGAAUAUUUCUAUUGUUUAAAGUCAUUUUUUCUGGAUAGUCUGUCACUCUCAGCCAAAGACUCCCAAUACAAGUAAUUUUGGAACUUCCUUAAAACUUCAUAUUUCUUCCUGAAGUAUUUAGAAUAUGAAUUUAAACGCCCAUUUUCCUGAAGUUACUGUGAUUGCAAAGAGUUGUUUGACACACCGUGUAACCAUUUCUCAUAACCUGUUUAUUGUUACUAGCUUUAAAAUUCAGAUUACAAUAAAAAUAGAGUAGCUUUACCUGAGGAGCUAUAUGCUAUGUGAUUAAAUUUCUGUACUGGAUGUACUGUUAAUGUAUCAUGUUUUCCUAUUUUAUAUUUUAUACAUUCAGCAUGCACAACUUUAUAUGGAAAUUGACUUUACUUGUAAAACCUCAUACCUGGUACUAGCAUAUCCAUGCAGAGUUAGAAGGCUCAGCUCCCUUCUCUCCUAAGUAGAAUGAUCUACCCCAGGCUGGCUGUGCCGCCCUGCAAAAGGAAGUUCCCAGCUCCUCUUGGCAAAGCCACCGGAGUCAUUCAAAUUCUUACUUUCUAUAGAGAAUAAUUUUUUUCUUGGAAGUUUCAAUUUGAAGGAUUCAAAAGGGCAGGGAAUCCUUUUCUUUUUUUUACUGAGCACCUUCUAUGUGCCGAACAUGUGUCAGGUGCCAGGGACAACAACAGUAGCGCGUGUGCACACAUGCACACACAUAGCCAAUCGCAGGGUCUCCGGGUCCAUGAUCCGAGACAGUCAUGUACCACAUCAUGCAGAAUGCUGGCAAAAUUCUGUGCUGGCUUCCAUGGGAGCCACUGCAAAAUCCGACGCGGUGGUCAGCAAAAUGCCCAGGUAUUCAUUCCACUUUCCUCCACCCUCAGUCCCACUGUGUCUUUAGGAUCCUCUCAUCCUUUCCUGACACCUGGCAAAGAAUUCACUUCAUUCACAGAGCUAAAGGCAGGUGGGGCUGGUGUAGGAAUCUGCUUAGCACAGGACUCAAGUCUAGGAUGAAGGAUGUGAGAAGAAGGCAGUGACAGCUCUGUGCUGUCAUUCAACGUAUCUGUUGAGCACUUUCUAUGGAUCCAGCCCAGGAGCCAGAAACAGGUAGUUGCCACUAUACCAGCAGAUAUUUACAGGGGGCCAGGAGAGAAAAGACUCAAAUGUCCGUCUCUACUGUUUACCACACGAGGAAAUUGAGGGCCAGGCAGGGCAGGUAUCAGAGCUCAGGGCCCCUGACUUGGGGCUUACGGCACUGGCCCAACAAGUCCAGCCAUCUCAGGAGGUAUCUCCACAUGCCCAUGUGCAGGCAGGAGCCUCUCUCCACGAGAAGAGGAGCCCCCCCCCCUCCAUGUCCUUCCUAAUCGUGACAUUGAUCUUAACCAAAGAGGAUCCCAUUCAAGGAGGUGGAGGAGGCCUAGGCUUCCAGUGUUUGCCAAGGCAUAGGUGGCCCUCCUCAUUAGGGACAAUGCGGCAAGGAGGUGGGAGAAAGGGGUUCUCAGGAAUCUGUUCUCAGAUCAGCCCCUUUCCAUUGCCCCAGAACACAAUGGGGAAAGCCGCCACCACCAUCACCACCCGGGCUGACACGCAGGGGGCCUGCAGGAAACAAAAUUCCUGGAGUCAGCAGCAUAACAGCAUUUGGUGUGCGCUCCACCCCCUCAGCUCUGCAAGGGCUCAGUUCCU
Long non-coding RNA from Hipposideros armiger (great roundleaf bat), 2308 nucleotides. RefSeq lists it as uncharacterized. Lineage: Eukaryota; Metazoa; Chordata; Mammalia; Chiroptera; Hipposideridae. The transcript has 3 exons. The record is from RefSeq and is a predicted model, not a curated record.